UACGUAGGGUGCAAGCGUUGUCCGGAUUUAUUGGGCGUAAAGAGCUCGUAGGCGGUUAGUCACGUCGGAUGUGAAAACUCAGUGCUUAACACUGAGCCUGCAUUCGAUACGGGCUGACUAGAGUGUUGUAGGGGAGACUGGAACUCCUGGUGUAGCGGUGAAAUGCGCAGAUAUCAGGAAGAACACCGGUGGCGAAGGCGGGUCUCUGGGCAACUACUGACGCUGAGGAGCGAAAGCGUGGGGAGCAAACAGG
Molecule: ribosomal RNA, 253 nt
Filed under: uncultured bacterium
Lineage: Bacteria
Description: partial 16S ribosomal RNA
Rfam family: Bacterial small subunit ribosomal RNA
Source: RNAcentral